This 467-nucleotide ribosomal RNA is filed under the name uncultured bacterium. RNAcentral's name for it is "partial 16S ribosomal RNA". It matches the Rfam family "Bacterial small subunit ribosomal RNA", at positions 28 to 507 of the family's 1533-position model. The record is from RNAcentral.
GAUGAACGCUGACAGAAUGCUUAACACAUGCAAGCCAACUUGAAUUUGGGUUUUUAACUUAGGUUUGGGUGGCGGACGGGUGAGUAACGCGUAAAGACAUUGCCUCACAGCUAGGGACAACAUUUGGAAACGAAUGCUAAUACCUAAUAUUAUGAUAAUAGGGCCUCCUAUAAUUAUGAAAGCUAUAAGCGCUGUGAGAGAGCUUUGCGUCCCAUUAGCUAGUUGGAGAGGUAACGGCUCACCAAGGCGAUGAUGGGUAGCCGGCCUGAGAGGGUGAUCGGCCACAAGGGGACUGAGACACGGCCCUUACUCCUACGGGAGGCAGCAGUGGGGAAUAUUGGACAAUGGACCGAGAGUCUGAUCCAGCAAUUCUGUGUGCACGAUGAAGUUUUUCGGAAUGUAAAGUGCUUUCAGUUGGGAAGAAACAAAUGACGGUACCAACAGAAGAAGUGACGGCUAAAUACGUG